ACUCAAAGGAAUAGACGGGGGCCCGCACAAGCGGCGGAGCGUGUGGUUUAAUUCGAUGCUACACGAAGAACCUUACCCAGGCUUGACAUGGGAGUGGUAGGGAAGGGAAACCGGACCGACCCGCAAGGGAGCUUUCACAGGUGCUGCAUGGCUGUCGUCAGCUCGUGCCGUGAGGUGUUAGGUUAAGUCCUGUAACGAGCGCAACCCGCGUCCGCAGUUACAAGUGUCUGCGGAGACUGCCGGUUUCAAGCCGGAGGAAGGUGCGGAUGACGUCAAGUCAGCAUGGCCUUUAUGCCUGGGGCUACACACACGCUACAAUGGGCGGUACAGUGGGACGCGAAGCCGCGAGGUGAAGCCAAUCCCCCAAAGCCGUUCGUAGUUCGGAUUGGAGGCUGCAACCCGCCUCCAUGAAGCCGGAGUCGCUAGUAACCGCGCGUCAGCUAUAGUGCGGUGAAUACGUUCCCGGGCCUUGUACACACCGCCCGU
Molecule: ribosomal RNA, 486 nt
Filed under: uncultured bacterium
Lineage: Bacteria
Description: partial 16S ribosomal RNA
Rfam family: Bacterial small subunit ribosomal RNA
Source: RNAcentral